UGUUGUAGCUGUGGGAAGACAUUUUACUCUCUUACUCUUUUCUGUUUCCUUUUUAAAAAUUUUGUUAAUAUUAGAUAUUGUGUUUUACCUAUGUAGUGUUACACCUGUUAGAGUUGUGUGUCUGGGAAAACAUCUGGAUUUAUCUGCGGAUUUAGGCCUCAUACAGAUGUCUGUAUUUUGUGUGAAGCAAACAGUUGAAGCGAAAUUUUAAAAUGGCAUGGAGGCAGGGCCAGAGCUUCAGGUUAUUACGUGCAAAGUAUUGAUGGAACUGGAUGGCUUCAGUCGAUCGGGAGCUAAUGCAUCCCUAAUCCUGUCUUUGUUACAGAGGAAUGUUCUGCUUGGGUCUCUGAUGGGGAAAUAGGUGCAAAGCUGUUGAUCCUAGUUUUAUUUGUCAGAAACCCAUGCAUCAAUCAAAUACAAGCCCAGCUGAGCGUUGAAAGACAUGGGGUUUCAGCUGAAGAAAUUUGAUAACGGUCUAUUGUCAGGCUGUACAUUCACUUUUCGAUAAGAAAUACAUUUGACUGAUGUAGAUAAGGAUGGAAGGGUUGUAGAGGGGAAGAGAGAACUGACAUACAUGGUACUAGAGGUGCAGCUGCUUCAUUACUGCAAAAUGUGUGUAUAAAAUCAAGUAUUGCUACAUCGAAAUGUGGGCUUUGACUCCUGGGUUCAAGUAAAAUUCAUAGAAUGACUGAAAGGAAAGCUGCAUAAAUACAGCACAGAUGUGCUGGCCUGUGGGAUCACAUGCAGUGCUGGUACUGUAAGACAAACUAAAGCUUGUUAUUAUUAGUGCUCAGGGAGCUUUGCAAAGGACUGUUACAAUCCAUUUUUAAAAAGACAAUUGCUGUUUUAACAUUGAAAG
Long non-coding RNA from Chiloscyllium plagiosum (whitespotted bambooshark), 859 nucleotides. RefSeq lists it as uncharacterized. NCBI's taxonomy places the organism in Eukaryota, Metazoa, Chordata, Chondrichthyes, Orectolobiformes, Hemiscylliidae. The record is from RefSeq and is a predicted model, not a curated record.